GGGCCCGCACAAGCGGUGGAGCAUGUGGUUUAAUUCGAUGAUACGCGAGGAACCUUACCAGGGCUUAAAUGUAGUUUGACCGGUCUGGAAACAGACUUUCUCUUCGGAGCAGAUUACAAGGUGCUGCAUGGUUGUCGUCAGCUCGUGCCGUGAGGUGUUAGGUUAAGUCCUGCAACGAGCGCAACCCCUAUUCUUAGUUGCCAGCGGUUCGGCCGGGGACUCUAAGAAGACUGCCAGCGCAAGCUGAGAGGAAGGUGGGGAUGACGUCAAAUCAUCACGGCCCUUACGUCCUGGGCUACACACGUGCUACAAUGGUAGAGACAGAGGGCAGCCACCUGGUGACAGGGAGCGAAUCCUUAAACUCUAUCUCAGUUCGGAUCGAAGUCUGCAACUCGACUUCGUGAAGCUGGAAUCGCUAGUAAUCGCGCAUC
This 431-nucleotide ribosomal RNA is filed under the name uncultured bacterium. RNAcentral's name for it is "bacterial SSU rRNA". It matches the Rfam family "Bacterial small subunit ribosomal RNA", at positions 917 to 1350 of the family's 1533-position model. The record is from RNAcentral.